UAUGGCCAAAUGUUUUGUUUAUUACAGACAGUAAGAGGAAAUUAACAUAACUCAGAUUCAUGCACUUUUAUUUGAUCAUUAAAUUGAUCAAAAGUGAGAGUAAAACAUUUAUAAUGUUUCAAAAGAUUUCUAUUUCAAAUAAAAGCUGUUCUUUUGAACUUUCUAUUCAUCUCUGAAUCCUGAAAAAUAAAAUGCAUCAGUUUCCUCAAAAAUAUUGAGCAGCACAACUGUGUUCAACAUUGAUAAUAAUCAGAAAUGUUUCUUGAGCAGCAGAUCAGCAUAUUAUUAUGAUUUCUGAAGAUCAUGUGACACUGAAGACUGGAGUAAUGAUGCUGAAAAUACAGCUGCGCAUCACAGAAAUAAAUUACACUUUAACAGAUACUCACAUAGAAAACAGCUGUUUUACAUCACAAUAAUAUUUCAUCCAUUUUUACUGUAUUUUGAUCAAAUAAGUGCAGCCUUGAUGAGCAGAAGAGACUUCUUUCAAAAAAAAAAAAAAAAAAAACUCUUACUAACCCCAACAUUUUCGAUGGCUAUGUACAGUUUGGAUUUAUUCCUUGGUUUUAUUAAUGUUUAAUUCUGUUAAAAAUAAAACAGCUGUGGCACAGAAAACCUGGGAAUAUCAGGCAUUUCAGUUUGAAAAAUGAUGGCAAUAUUUAGUAAGACUUUUUCUAUUAUUACUUGUAUGUAAAAACUGAAAGAGCCAGAAGAGGCUCUUGUGGAUUUGCGUGUUUGAAUUACAAAGCAAGAAAGUGGGAGAGAGCUGACGAAGGCAAGGGAAUGGUUCUGUCCAUCUGUGAAGCGCUCGUUUGACGACAGACUGUGAGUUUGUCCCGCUCCUGAGACAGAUGGUUGCUGGGGGACUCUGAUAACAGGACAGCAGGUCAACGCCGAGGCUGCGCUCCAACUCAACAUGUGUGUUUAUCUGUCAUGUCCAAAUGUCAUAUUCAAGUGCUGGAGGUUUAUUAGCCACAGAAUCUGGUGCGAAUCAUCGGCGUCAUCAGGAAAAUAUGAGCAGCAUCACGCUGACAAAUCUGCUGCUUUAUUCCCGCUUGUGAAAGUGCUUCUGAACAACUGAACAUCACUGGAAAGACUUCUCUGCUGCAUUCAGAGUCCUUAUUCAUCUGUUAAUAUUACUGCUGUUCAUACUCAUGUGUGAUCUCUGAUGGAUGUAGUGUUUCAGGUAACAAACUCAAGAAAGUGAAAGCCUCACAGUUUGUGUUGGUUUGUGAAGAUGAUUUAAUGGUUUAAUUAGGGCUUGUUGUUGCUGUUUUGGGGGUCAUCUGGGAUGAUACGUCGUCUGGGUCGGUUCAUCUCUAUGCCCUUAUGCAAAGAAAAUAUAUUUCCUAAUAAAGGAAUGAUCAUUAUAUUAAAGGACAUAAUGGUAUAUUAGAAAUUAUUGUACAUUUAUUACAAUAUAUUGAAUAAUACAAAAGAAAUUGCUGCUUUCAUAAAUUGAAGAAUAUGUGACAAUGUAUUCAUUUAGACAUCACAAAUGCCAGUAAAGAAGUUUUACUUUUGAUUGCUUGAUCAUGUUGAGCAUGAAUUCAGCUUGUCCUGUCUGUCUCCAGAUCCAGCGUUCACUAAUGGAGUGGAAGAAAAGCUUGAGCUCUGAAACAUGAAAAACAGACUCAGAAAUAAACAAGGUAUAUUUAUAUUAUAUUACUCAAAUGUGUAAGAUAAUGUUAUGAAAUGGACAUAUAACGUUAUAAAGUGACCAAAGGCUAAAACACAUCAUGUGUCUCCCUAAAUAUAGUGAUUCUCGGUGAAUCUUCUGAACGAUUCAGAUCAUGUCCAGAAAUAUGACCCUUCACCUAGUGAUAAUUAAAGCUUGUCGGUGGCCGCAGGAAGUGAUGCGAUGUCAUUCCCUGAUGUCAUCCGUCUCCCUGGCAACAAUGACAACUGCCAAUGUGACCCAUCAUGAGCGAGAAGAUGAAGAUGAGGUGUGAUAUCAGUCCUGAUGAGUCCUCGGAUCAUGUGUGCUGCUUAGAUCACCUAAAACAGCUGUAAAAUCACACUGAAGGAGGAACCGGAGCCAUCAUCAGACUCGAGGAAAACACCAUGAACAGCGGCGGCCACGAGAAAAAGAUUAACAAAGCUUUUAAGGUUUUUAAAUUGUCCAGUAACAAAUAUAUAACAAUUGACAGAGAGAACUUGAGCGGAGGCUUAAAAGUUGCUUGAUUUUUACCGUACAUUUCAACGUGAGAUAGUCACCACUGAUAAGCUACUAUAAUGUAGAACUUAAAUUUUCUGUAAAGCUGCUUUGCAAUGAUUUGCAUCUUGUAAAGAGCUUUACAAAUAAACUUGAAUUGUUAAUUAAUUGUAAAAGAGCCGACAACCUUAGCAGUCUAACAUCAGACAGGAAUUGUCCUGCACAAUGAAAAAAAGAGCUUUAGAAAUUGCUUGCAAAUUUCACAAAUAAUUACAAAAAAUUAAGUAACAUAAUGAAUUAAACAUGAACUUUCAAAAUAGAAAGAAUGAGAUUAUUCUUCCAUUCUCAGAUGAUCUUUGCUCUACUUAAAACCAGGUUCACAAUGCAAUGCAUGUCCUGCAUGUUAUGAACUGCUUCUCUAUGGCCACUGUAAAGCUUUGCUGUAAAGAUUGUGCAUUUAACAGACAUUUCAUCCAAACUGACUGCAUUCAAGGUUUAGAUGUUAUGACUUCAGCAUUCCCUGAGAAUCCAGCCCAUGACCUUGUGUUUGAGCUCGAGGAGUUUCAUGAAGCUGCUGUGAAGCACUUGCUCAAGUGUGGUUACAGUCACAUUAGUAUCACAUGUUUGACUAUCUUUCAGUGGAUUUAAUGAAUCAGAAAAAUUAUGCUUGAAGUUUUUCAAAUAUUUUAGACCUAUUAUGAGUUAUAUUAUGAAGCUUCAGGAUCCUCAUGAGCUCUGUCUGCUGCUCUUCACAUCCUAUUGAUUUCAGCAAGAGGACGUUCACACACACACACACACACACACAUUAAAAAGGAGAAAAAACUUAUUAAGAAAGAAAGUGUGUGAGUUUAGAGCAAGAGAAUUUGAUUAGUUCCCUACAGAACAUUUUCUUUGAUUUUAUAGUGUGUGUGUGUGUGUGUGUGUGUGUGUGUGUGUGUGUGUGUGAAGGUGUGGUGCUCUACAUGAGUCUAUAUUCAUUUCCAGUGGUGACUAAGUUGGGCAGCGUGACUCAAACGUGCCGUGACAUGUUCAGUCUGCACUUGUCUGUCCUCUUUAGCGUGGACAUGCGGACACAAACACGACGGCCAACACAAAGACAAACUACAAACACUGAAUGACACACAUUAUACACACAGAGAUGAACAACACACAGACUCUCUGAGCGAUGUUUGAUUAAAGUGUGUGGCACAGAAACACUGCUGCUGUUUCUGCAGAAGAGAGUGUGAUUUACAAGAAAAUACUGCAUCAAGAGAUCACAUUUAAUUCAAGUCUUUCUUUCUUUCUUUCUUUCUUUUUGCAUUGUUUGCAAAAGUUUCACAGUGAAAAUUGUUUCUAGGUCACACACUUUUUCAGUGCGUAUUUACAUUUAUUAAGUGAGUUUUUCUUGACAGGUUCUCGACGUAUUCCUGACAGAUUUUGUCAGAUUCUCUCGGACAGAUUUCAGAAAUCUUUUGAUUAAGACAAGUCUUUUCUGAAAGAUAAAAUCAAUGAUUUUCUGAACGUCUCUGCUCUUUAGCACAAUUCAUAAAGACAGCUGUUUAUCUGCUGUUAAAACAGCUUGAUCUAUUACAUAAACCACACAUUUCUGCUUAUUAUUAUUAGUUUCACAUUAAACAGCUUGAAGUGAAUUAGUCAUUUCAGCAAAUAUUACAGUUUUUCCAGAUCAAAACCCUGAAGAGACCCUGAGCUGCGUUCAUCAUAUCACUUUCUCAAUCAGACGGGCGGCACGACUGCUCUUCUGUGUCUUAAUUAGAUGUGAUUAUUCAUGUGAAGGAAUGUAAAGGCCAUCAGAAGCUCGUCCGCCCCGCAGCCAAAACAUUUCUGCGCUUGACAUCACUUCAGAUCUCGCUCUAAUCACGACGCCAUUAAAACACAGCUGGGCUGAACUCUUUAAAUUGCUCUAAACACACCAUUUGAUGCACAUUUACAUCCGACGCCACAUUUAAAACUUUUUAUUUAUAUUUAAUUUUCUUUAUUUAUAUAGCACUUUAUAAAAUACAGAUUCUGUCAAAGCAGAUUUACAGUGAUAAGAAAAUGCAUUUCUG
Cyprinus carpio carpio is the source of this 4197-nucleotide long non-coding RNA. Lineage: Eukaryota; Metazoa; Chordata; Actinopteri; Cypriniformes; Cyprinidae. The record is from Ensembl.